CCACUGCGCGGGACUGUCGCCGCUCUCCUCCUCAUCUACUCCGCCGCGGAUCCCAAAACGAGGACGCACACCAGGAGAGAAAGGUGCUUUUACGUGGUGCGACGGUUCGUUAAUUACAACUUGUGCCUCCUACUAUGCGACGGUUCGGUCGGACUGUCCUCUACAGCUGGUGUGUUGCCCGCACAGGAAGGUAUACUCGCAGCCCAACCUACAACGUACUACCCACGAGAGGCGUGAUUCAAAACAAACAACAACUUUAAAGUCGAUGCUCCCUUACAAACAUGUCACUGGUUUUAGGUCGCAUGGUAAGAAAAAUAGCUCUUUACGCCAUAGUAAAAAACCGGUACCGUUCUUUUUCGUUAGAAACAAAUCUACUAAGACUAAAACAAAAACGGUAACGGCUAAGGAGAUUUGUUUUAUAUCUUAAUAUCUCGAUCAAAUCUACUAUUUUACCGCACAACGAAUGGUCUUGGUACUGCUCGUCGCUUUCCCUGGUUGUGGUGUUUGCUCGUAGCCUUUGGUACCCGACCAACCGUCCAUAGAGCCUAGUGGGUGGUCAGUAAGUUCGAACCUCUCCUUAUACCAGCACACCCGGGUUUCACGUCCCAGUUCUUUCGUCUUUCUUUCUUUCUUUCCUGCCUCUUUUUCUGACUGGGAGGUGCAAGAAUAGACGUCGGCCAAACGAGGACGAAAGCGAGGCGGGCGGCCGACCGUCGCUUGGCUUAGGCCAUGACCGUCAUGAGAGGCCGCGAUUAGCGUUACUAAAAGCGUCAUCCCCAGAACCGAAGAAGGCGACUAGGAGUAGAUGUUACGGCUGAUAAAUCCCGGCGCGGCGCCAUCCUUCCUUCCCACCCGUGUGUCUGUCUGAGUGACGGUGAAGUGGCGUGGCGAGGGGGGAAAGGGGUGAGAAGAGGUUGGGGGCCUGCCUCCACGAUCGCCUUCACUAGCCUUCGGACGUCAUACCCGUUAGACACGACGACACAAGUUCAACUGGUCAGGUGGCACCGGUAGUCCCUCGUCAAACCCUUCAAACUGUCACACGAACUCGGUCCUACGGUGACGGACGGAACCUAGAAACCCUUUGCACAUCAACCGGUAGAGUGUGAGUCCAACGUCGUCGACCUACACGCGACACUUUGAUUCUGUUUCCUGUUACACAAACAGUGACAACAACGUAGCUAAGUCAUGGCUGGAGACCGACCGUUUCUUUCACUGCGUAUGAUGUUUGACUGGUUGUGUUCUAGGGUCUAAGUUCGGAUACAGAAACUACACUAGUCCCGUUCACAAGGUUUCGAGUUGGACCUACUACGAAAGCACGUCUUCUUGCUAUAUCGUUUCCGACACCUCCUACUUGAACUUUUCCGAUACAGCCGUAUACCGAAACUCUAGCACGUCUGGGAGUAACAGCUGUAGCUCGGUCUACGCGUACAGUUCGUCCGCUACUUACUCUAGUUACGUCGACGUUCCUACUCCCACCGACGUUUGCUCUUCCGCCUCCGACUCUUCUAACAGGUCUAGUUCGCACGGCUCCCACUUCGUCUCCGGUUCAUGGACAGACCGGAGCCAUAGCGGGCGGUCGCGGUCCGGUAACACCUACCGGACUCCCUGUCGCAGGACCCGAAGAGUCAGUUACACGGACCGUGGUGACGUUUCCUACACUACCUGUACCACGACUAGUGGGUCAUGAAGCUAUGAUACUUUCUCUAACCGCGCAGGAGGUUCAGGAGCCGCCACAAGUAGGGGGUACCGGGACCACGCCACGCGCUGUAGCGGUGCGUCUAGGCACUGCCAGAAGAAGUUCCGGUCAGACGGAGACUGUUGAUCGUCAAACGAAGCGGCCGUACUUGAAACUUCGACGACCACCAAACACCAAACGAUCGAUAACGGAUGUCAUGACAGAUUAUACUACGUACGGCAUAAUAAAUACUUGGAUAUACCUUGGUAUACACCUAGCACCGUACGGUACGGAAUCCAACUACACGUCAUUGUUUUGGAAAUUGGAACACACUUACGUCCUACUAUAUUCACACAAUACUUUACAACCACUACUUGAACUAGAUUACGAAAACGGAAUAUCACGACACCAAUGUAUAAAAAGUACCCCUUAAAGAAGACUC
RNAcentral lists this ribosomal RNA (2117 nucleotides) under Triticum aestivum (bread wheat). RNAcentral's name for it is "partial small subunit ribosomal RNA". Lineage: Eukaryota; Viridiplantae; Streptophyta; Magnoliopsida; Poales; Poaceae. The record is from RNAcentral.